UAUAUUUGAGAGUUUGAUCCUGGCUCAGGAUGAACGCUGGCGGCGUGCCUAACACAUGCAAGUCGAGCGAACCUUUCGGGGUGAGCGGCGGACGGGUGAGUAACGCGUGGGUAACCUGCCCUGUACACACGGAUAACAUACCGAAAGGUAUGCUAAUACGGGAUAACAUAUGAGAGUCGCAUGGCUUUUGUAUCAAAGCUCCGGCGGUACAGGAUGGACCCGCGUCUGAUUAGCUAGUUGGUAAGGUAACGGCUUACCAAGGCAACGAUCAGUAGCCGACCUGAGAGGGUGAUCGGCCACAUUGGAACUGAGACACGGUCCAAACUCCUACGGGAGGCAGCAGUGGGGAAUAUUGCACAAUGGGCGAAAGCCUGAUGCAGCAACGCCGCGUGAGCGAUGAAGGCCUUCGGGUCGUAA
RNAcentral lists this ribosomal RNA (417 nucleotides) under Paraclostridium sordellii. Its description in RNAcentral is "bacterial SSU rRNA". It matches the Rfam family "Bacterial small subunit ribosomal RNA", at positions 1 to 428 of the family's 1533-position model. Lineage: Bacteria; Bacillati; Bacillota; Clostridia; Peptostreptococcales; Peptostreptococcaceae. The record is from RNAcentral.